Molecule: ribosomal RNA, 445 nt
Filed under: uncultured bacterium
Lineage: Bacteria
Description: partial 16S ribosomal RNA
Rfam family: Bacterial small subunit ribosomal RNA
Source: RNAcentral
GUGAGGAAUAUUGGUCAAUGGACGAGAGUCUGAACCAGCCAAGUCGCGUGAAGGAAGACGGUUCUAUGAAUUGUAAACUUCUUUUGUGCAGGAAUAAAGUGGGUUACGUGUAACCUUUUGUAUGUACUGUACGAAUAAGGAUCGGCUAACUCCGUGCCAGCAGCCGCGGUAAUACGGAGGAUCCGAGCGUAAUCCGGAUUUAUUGGGUUUAAAGGGUGCGUAGGUGGAUUGAUAAGUCAGCGGUGAAAGUUUGCAGCUUAACUGUAAAAUUGCCGUUGAAACUGUCGGUCUUGAGUGCAAAUGAGGUAGGCGGAAUGUGUUGUGUAGCGGUGAAAUGCUUAGAUAUAACACAGAACUCCGAUUGCGAAGGCAGCUUACUGGGAUGCAACUGACACUGAUGCACGAAAGCGUGGGUAUCAAACAGGAUUAGAAACCCGAGUAGUCC